CUCAAAUUUUUUUUUCCUCAAAAAGUGUUUUCAAAUUUUUUUUUCGUUUCCUUAUUCGGUUUCUUUUUCCUUAUUCGAUUUUCAUUUCCUUAUACAGUUUCUAUUUCCUUAUUCGAUUUCCAUUUCCUUAUUCGAUUUUCAUUUCCUUAUUCGGUUUCUUUUUCCUUUUUCAAUGUUCAUUUCCUUUUUCGGUUUCUAUUUCCUUAUUGGAUUUUCUUUUCCUUAUUCGAUUUCCAUUUCCUUAUUCAAUUUCCAUUUCCUUAUUCGGUUUCUUUUUCCUUUUUCAAUGUUCAUUUCCUUUUUCGGUUUCUAUUUCCUUAUUGGGUUUCUAUUUCCUUAUUGGAUUUUUCGUUUCCUUAUUCGAUUUCCAUUUCCUUAUUCGAUUUCCAUUUCCUAAUUCGGUUUCUUUUUCCUUUUUCAAUAUUCAUUUCCUUUUUCGGUUUCUAUUUCCUUAUUCGGUUUCUAUUUCCUUAUUCAGUUUCCAUUUCCUUAUUGGAUUUUCAUUUCCUUAUUGGAUUUUCAUUUUAUUUUUUCCUUAUUCGGCUACUUUUUCCUUAUUCGGUUUCUAUUUCCUUAUUCAGUUUCCAUUUCCUUAUUGGAUUUUCAUUUCCUUAUUGGAUUUUCAUUUCCUUAUUCGGUUUCCAUUUCCUUUUUCGAUAUUCA
RNAcentral lists this long non-coding RNA (663 nucleotides) under Mytilus galloprovincialis (Mediterranean mussel). The record is from RNAcentral. Lineage: Eukaryota; Metazoa; Mollusca; Bivalvia; Mytilida; Mytilidae.